Molecule: transfer RNA, 74 nt
Filed under: Bacteroidales bacterium
Lineage: Bacteria; Pseudomonadati; Bacteroidota; Bacteroidia; Bacteroidales
Description: tRNA-Thr
Rfam family: tRNA
About the family: Transfer RNA (tRNA) molecules are approximately 80 nucleotides in length. Their secondary structure includes four short double-helical elements and three loops (D, anti-codon, and T loops). Further hydrogen bonds mediate the characteristic L-shaped molecular structure. tRNAs have two regions of fundamental functional importance: the anti-codon, which is responsible for specific mRNA codon recognition, and the 3' end, to which the tRNAs corresponding amino acid is attached (by aminoacyl-tRNA synthetases). tRNAs cope with the degeneracy of the genetic code in two manners: having more than one tRNA (with a specific anti-codon) for a particular amino acid; and 'wobble' base-pairing, i.e. permitting non-standard base-pairing at the 3rd anti-codon position.
Source: RNAcentral
GCCACCGUAGCUCAGUUGGUUAGAGCGGCUGAUUCGUAAUCAGCAGGUCAUGAGUUCGACUCUCAUCAGUGGCU